AAAUUGAAGAGUUUGAUCAUGGCUCAGAUUGAACGCUGGCGGCAGGCCUAACACAUGCAAGUCGAACGGUAACAGGAAUCAGCUUGCUGAUUCGCUGACGAGUGGCGGACGGGUGAGUAAUGUCUGGGAAACUGCCUGAUGGAGGGGGAUAACUACUGGAAACGGUAGCUAAUACCGCAUAAUGUCGCAAGACCAAAGAGGGGGACCUUCGGGCCUCUUGCCAUCGGAUGUGCCCAGAUGGGAUUAGCUGGUAGGUGGGGUAACGGCUCACCUAGGCGACGAUCCCUAGCUGGUCUGAGAGGAUGACCAGCCACACUGGAACUGAGACACGGUCCAGACUCCUACGGGAGGCAGCAGUGGGGAAUAUUGCACAAUGGGCGCAAGCCUGAUGCAGCCAUGCCGCGUGUAUGAAGAAGGCCUUCGGGUUGUAAAGUACUUUCAGCGGGGAGGAAGGGAGUAAAGUUAAUACCUUUGCUCAUUGACGUUACCCGCAGAAGAAGCACCGGCUAACUCCGUGCCAGCAGCCGCGGUAAUACGGAGGGUGCAAGCGUUAAUCGGAAUUACUGGGCGUAAAGCGCACGCAGGCGGUUUGUUAAGUCAGAUGUGAAAUCCCCGGCUCAACCUGGGAACUGCAUCUGAUACUGGCAAGCUUGAGUCUCGUAGAGGGGGUAGAAUUCCAGGUGUAGCGGUGAAAUGCGUAGAGAUCUGGAGGAAUACCGGUGGCGAAGGCGGCCCCUGGACGAAGACUGACGCUCAGGUGCGAAAGCGUGGGGAGCAAACAGGAUUAGAUACCCUGGUAGUCCACGCCGUAAACGAUGUCGACUUGGAGGUUGUGCCCUUGAGGCGUGGCUUCCGGAGCUAACGCGUUAAGUCGACCGCCUGGGGAGUACGGCCGCAAGGUUAAAACUCAAAUGAAUUGACGGGGGCCCGCACAAGCGGUGGAGCAUGUGGUUUAAUUCGAUGCAACGCGAAGAACCUUACCUGGUCUUGACAUCCACGGAAGUUUUCAGAGAUGAGAAUGUGCCUUCGGGAACCGUGAGACAGGUGCUGCAUGGCUGUCGUCAGCUCGUGUUGUGAAAUGUUGGGUUAAGUCCCGCAACGAGCGCAACCCUUAUCCUUUGUUGCCAGCGGUCCGGCCGGGAACUCAAAGGAGACUGCCAGUGAUAAACUGGAGGAAGGUGGGGAUGACGUCAAGUCAUCAUGGCCCUUACGACCAGGGCUACACACGUGCUACAAUGGCGCAUACAAAGAGAAGCGACCUCGCGAGAGCAAGCGGACCUCAUAAAGUGCGUCGUAGUCCGGAUUGGAGUCUGCAACUCGACUCCAUGAAGUCGGAAUCGCUAGUAAUCGUGGAUCAGAAUGCCACGGUGAAUACGUUCCGGGCCUUGUACACACCGCCCGUCACACCAUGGGAGUGGGUUGCAAAAGAAGUAGGUAGCUUAACCUUCGGGAGGGCGCUUACCACUUUGUGAUUCAUGACUGGGGUGAAGUCGUAACAAGGUAACCGUAGGGGAACCUGCGGUUGGAUCACCUCCUUACCUUAAAGAAGC
Molecule: ribosomal RNA, 1550 nt
Filed under: Escherichia fergusonii
Lineage: Bacteria; Pseudomonadati; Pseudomonadota; Gammaproteobacteria; Enterobacterales; Enterobacteriaceae
Description: bacterial SSU rRNA
Rfam family: Bacterial small subunit ribosomal RNA
Source: RNAcentral